AACGGUCUAUACCUGCGGUACCUGCGGAGGGAUCAUUACUGAAUUGAUUUUGGGGAUGUUGCUGGUCUCUUGAGGCAAUGGUGCACUCCCUCAAACAUUUCACAAUUUCCAUCUUACCAUGUGCACAUCCUGUAGGUGGUCUCCCAACCCACCCUCCAAGGAAAGGGGGGGAGUGUGUGGGUCUGGUCUCCUAUGUAUUUCCUUGCCAACAUCACACGUUUUGACUGAAUGAAUCCUGUG
This 240-nucleotide unclassified non-coding RNA is filed under the name soil metagenome. RNAcentral describes it as "partial contains 5.8S ribosomal RNA, internal transcribed spacer 2, and large subunit ribosomal RNA". The record is from RNAcentral.